CUUGAAAACGACCUCGGUAAACGAGGAGGAAGGUGGGGAUGACGUCUGGUCCGCAUAGCCCUUAUGUCCUGGGCUACACACGCGCUACAAUGGCCGAUACAGUAGGAAGCCAAAUCGUAAGAUGGAGCUAAUCCUUAAAGUCGGUCUCAGUUCGGAUUGAGGUCUGAAAUUCGACCUCAUGAAGUUGGAUUUGCUAGUAAUCGUAGAUCAGCAAUGCUACGGUGAAUACGUUCUCGGGUCUU
Molecule: ribosomal RNA, 242 nt
Filed under: uncultured Thermovirga sp.
Lineage: Bacteria; Thermotogati; Synergistota; Synergistia; Synergistales; Thermovirgaceae
Description: partial 16S ribosomal RNA
Rfam family: Bacterial small subunit ribosomal RNA
Source: RNAcentral